Molecule: ribosomal RNA, 398 nt
Filed under: uncultured Methanosaeta sp.
Lineage: Archaea; Methanobacteriati; Methanobacteriota; Methanomicrobia; Methanotrichales; Methanotrichaceae
Description: bacterial SSU rRNA
Rfam family: Archaeal small subunit ribosomal RNA
Source: RNAcentral
AGCAAUAUGAAGGUCAGGCUGAAGACCUUACCCGAUUAGCUGAGAGGUGGUGCAUGGCCGUCGUCAGUUCGUACUGUGAAGCAUCCUGUUAAGUCAGGCAACGAGCGAGACCCACGUCCACAGUUGCCAGCAUACCCUCCGGGGUGAUGGGUACACUGUGGAGACCGCCGCUGCUAAAGCGGAGGAAGGAGUGGGCAACGGUAGGUCAGUAUGCCCCGAAUCUCCCGGGCUACACGCGGGCUACAAUGGUUGGUACAAUGGGCAUCUACCCCGAAAGGGGAAGGAAAUCUCUUAAAGCCAAUCGUAGUUCGGAUUGAGGGCUGCAACUCGCCCUCAUGGAGCUGGAAUCCGUAGUAAUCGCGUUUCAACAGAACGCGGUGAAUACGUCCCUGCUCCUU